This 533-nucleotide ribosomal RNA is filed under the name Aspergillus fischeri. Its description in RNAcentral is "eukaryotic LSU rRNA". It matches the Rfam family "Eukaryotic large subunit ribosomal RNA", at positions 65 to 601 of the family's 3401-position model. The record is from RNAcentral. Lineage: Eukaryota; Fungi; Ascomycota; Eurotiomycetes; Eurotiales; Aspergillaceae.
CCAACAGGGAUUGCCUCAGUAACGGCGAGUGAAGCGGCAAGAGCUCAAAUUUGAAAGCUGGCCCCCUCGGGGUCCGCGUUGUAAUUUGCAGAGGAUGCUUCGGGUGCAGCCCCCGUCUAAGUGCCCUGGAACGGGCCGUCAUAGAGGGUGAGAAUCCCGUCUGGGACGGGGUGUCUGCGUCCGUGUGAAGCUCCUUCGACGAGUCGAGUUGUUUGGGAAUGCAGCUCUAAAUGGGUGGUAAAUUUCAUCUAAAGCUAAAUACUGGCCGGAGACCGAUAGCGCACAAGUAGAGUGAUCGAAAGAUGAAAAGCACUUUGAAAAGAGAGUUAAACAGCACGUGAAAUUGUUGAAAGGGAAGCGUUUGCGACCAGACUCGCCCGCGGGGUUCAGCCGGCAUUCGUGCCGGUGUACUUCCCCGUGGGCGGGCCAGCGUCGGUUUGGGCGGCCGGUCAAAGGCCCUCGGAAUGUAUCACCUCUCGGGGUGUCUUAUAGCCGAGGGUGCAAUGCGGCCUGCCCGGACCGAGGAACGCGCU